This 1569-nucleotide long non-coding RNA is filed under the name Helianthus annuus (common sunflower). Its description in RNAcentral is "hypothetical non coding rna". The record is from RNAcentral. Lineage: Eukaryota; Viridiplantae; Streptophyta; Magnoliopsida; Asterales; Asteraceae.
GGGUUUCAUACUUUCAUUCUCAUCCUCAUUAUCCGCCCCCAUCUUUCCUUCCCCAUUUCUCUCUCCGUUUUCUAGAAACCCUAAACUCGCAACGCCGCUUCCCCCUGUACAAACACACAUUCUUAUGAAAUCAGAAAGAUGAAGCUUCAGUGUAGUUGUAGUCUGUGGAAAAAAGACCCAGGUAGUUUUUUUAUGGCUGAAUGUUUUCAUAGAUCUACCGGACCACUAUCGACUUUGCAGAUCUGAGUUUUUAGCUACAUUCAAGAACGGUACAAACAACAUUCUUGCGUCAAUCAGAAGGAUGAAGCUUCGGUGUAGUUGAAAUCAGGAAACAAGCAGAGCUAGGGAAGAUGACAAGCCCGGAUCUGAUAGGUUUGCUUCGGUAUAGUUGCAAUCGGUGGAUGAAGAUGGAAAUCAGAUGAAGAUGGAGUGAUGGAGAUGACAAGCAAAACUUUGCAGAUCUGAGUUUUUUUUGGUUGUUUAGUGGAUGAUUGUGGCAUUAGGUUCACCUGAGAUGUGAUUUCUUGUAUGUUGAAGGCUAUGAUGAUCCAGCUCUCCGUUUUAGCAGGCGAGGACAUCAAGAAAAUAACUUUCUGAACACGUUUCUUAUAAUGUUUGGGAUCUUUUUCGUGCUUGUGAUGAUCAGGCAAUGCUGAUUAGAGUGUUUUAGUUGUUGGUUAUUGUUGACAUCAUGUUGAUGAUAGUGUGUUCAUAUAAUACUUUGUAAUAGCACCAGCAGCCGCACGAGGGAGUAUAUACAACUUUCUGCACAAGCAAAAUGAUUCAUUUAAGCUUCCUUUGUUACUGAAGAUAGCAAUCGAUAUAUCCAAAGGCAUCAGUUACCUGUAUCAAAACAAUAUUAUCCACAGGGACGUGAAAACCGCCAAUCUUCUGAUGGAUGAGCACGACGUUGUGAAAGUUGCUGAUUUUGGAGUUGCAAGGGUGCAGACUGAAUCUGGAGUAAUGACGGCAGAAACCGGAACAUACAGGUGGAUGGCACCCGAGAUUGUGCCAAAAGUUAAUAGAUCGAAAAGGCUGCUGAUCCAAGUUUAGAAGAGGUAAGCAACGAAAGACACAACGGCUGUGCAAGUAAAGCAGGUACCCACAACACCGUUUCAUCGCUAUCCAUUGAUGGGGAAGUCUCUGGUGCGACCCCAAACUCCUGAGCCAUGGUUCCAGUACUGUUGAAGGCUAUGAGCACCAUAAUGGUGAGUGCAGUGGCUAGCUCGACACUUUCCAUUUCGGCGAGUGUAGAGAAAGAUAGGUUUAGUAGCUUGUACGAGUGUUGCAAUUGAAGUAGGAUUAGAGGUAGUUUAGUGGGGAUUAGUGGAGGAAUUUAACAGCUAAUAACAUUGUUAGUAUUAUUUAUGAAACAAAGCCUUUUCAUUUGAUAGGAAGUGAGUAUCAAAUUAGGAGACCUUUAAAAUAUUGAAACUGUAUCGGAAGCAUUUGAAUGAGGCAAAUGGUUCGAGUUUUGAUAACAAAAGUUUCUGUAAUCCACAUUGUCAUUGGCUUUUGUAACACCGUCUUUAUGAAGUUACUGGUUUAUUUCAAGUGAUUCAUAGAUUC